RNAcentral lists this ribosomal RNA (420 nucleotides) under Fusobacteriota bacterium. RNAcentral's name for it is "Fusobacteria bacterium partial 16S ribosomal RNA". It matches the Rfam family "Bacterial small subunit ribosomal RNA", at positions 355 to 776 of the family's 1533-position model. Lineage: Bacteria; Fusobacteriati; Fusobacteriota. The record is from RNAcentral.
UGGGGGAUAUUGCACAAUGGGCGAAAGCCUGAUGCAGCGACGCCGCGUGGGGGGUGAAGGCCUUCGGGUUGUAAACUUCUUUUGCUCUGAACAAGGCAUGCCUUUGGGGUGUGUUGAGUGUAGGGGUUGAUUAGCGCCGGCUAACUACGUGCCAGCAGCCGCGGUAAUACGUAGGGCGCGAGCGUUGUCCGGAAUUAUUGGGCGUAAAGGGCUUGUAGGUGGCUGGUUGCGUCUGUCGUGAAAGCUCAUGGCUUAACUGUGGGUUUGCGGUGGGUACGGGCUGGCUUGAGUGCAGUAGGGGAGGCUGGAAUUCCUGGUGUAGCGGUGGAAUGCGCAGAUAUCAGGAGGAAUACCGGUGGCGAAGGCGGGUCUCUGGGCUGUUACUGACGCUGAGGAGCGAAAGCGUGGGGAGCGAACAGG